This 468-nucleotide ribosomal RNA is filed under the name uncultured bacterium. Its description in RNAcentral is "partial 16S ribosomal RNA". It matches the Rfam family "Bacterial small subunit ribosomal RNA", at positions 28 to 507 of the family's 1533-position model. The record is from RNAcentral.
GACGAACGCUGGCGGCGUGCUUAACACAUGCAAGUCGAACGGAAAGGCCCUGCUUUUGUGGGGUGCUCGUGUGGCGAACGGGUGAGUAACACGUGAGUAACCUGCCCUUGACUUUGGGAUAACUUCAGGAAACUGGGGCUAAUAUCGGAUAGGAGCUCCUGCUGCAUGGUGUUGGUUGGAGAGUGUCUGCGGUUGUGGAUGUACUCGAGGCUUAUCAGCUUGUUGGGGGGGUAGUGGCUUACCAAGGGUUUGACGGGUAGCCUGCAUGAGAGGGUGACCGGCCACAUUGGGACUGAGAUACGGCCCAGACUCCUACGGGAGGCAGCAGUGGGGAAUCUUGCACAAUAGGCGGAAGCCUGAUGCAGCAACGCCGCGUGCGGGAUGACGGCCUUCGGGUUGUAAACCGCUUUCGCCUGUGACGAAGCGUGAGUGACGGUAAUGGGUAAAGAAGCACCGGCUAACUACGUG